UACGGAGGGUGCAAGCGUUAUCCGGAUUCACUGGGCUUAAAGGGUGCGUAGGUGGGCUGGUAAGUCAGUGGUGAAAUCCCCGAGCUUAACUUGGGAACUGCCAUUGAUACUAUCAGUCUUGAAUACUGUGGAGGUCAGCAGAAUAUGUCAUGUAGCGGUGAAAUGCUUAGAUAUGACAUAGAAUACCAACUGCGAAGGCAGCCGGCUACACAAAUAUUGACACUGAGACACGAAAGCGUGGGGAUCAAACAGG
Molecule: ribosomal RNA, 253 nt
Filed under: uncultured bacterium
Lineage: Bacteria
Description: partial 16S ribosomal RNA
Rfam family: Bacterial small subunit ribosomal RNA
Source: RNAcentral